This 86-nucleotide small RNA is filed under the name Neobacillus bataviensis LMG 21833. RNAcentral's name for it is "Bacillus bataviensis LMG 21833 BsrC". It matches the Rfam family "BsrC". From Rfam's summary of the family: The 301 nucleotide sequence from Kouji Nakamura has been trimmed to a highly conserved ~85 nucleotide long core to form this family. Lineage: Bacteria; Bacillati; Bacillota; Bacilli; Caryophanales; Bacillaceae. The record is from Rfam by way of RNAcentral.
UUUAACUAAACGACGUAAGCCCUACCUCUCUUACAUCCUUACGGCUCCGAAGCCGAUCCAGUCUGAAUAGUUAUUCUAUUAAAUCG